Long non-coding RNA from Ictalurus punctatus (channel catfish), 3844 nucleotides. Lineage: Eukaryota; Metazoa; Chordata; Actinopteri; Siluriformes; Ictaluridae. The record is from Ensembl.
UUUCAGGUGACACCAAACUCCAUUUAUUCUGAUUUUACAAAGACUACAAAAUUCUCCAGAUGAUUUUAAACCGCAGUCUCUUAUUAUUUACAUGAUAUGUUACUUACAAAUGUACAAAAUAUAAAACAUUUACGCACCGAAAACAAACUGCAAUAAAUGUUACACUCGCAACAGUCGCAACGACACAACAAAAUCAAAACGAAACAAAAACAAGACAAUAAGAGCAUCGACAUGUGAUCAGUACGCUCCAUAAAGCGCAAUUCUCCCCUGUUUAUUAUUAUUAUUAUUAUUAUUAUUAUUAUUAUUAUUAUUAUUAUUAUACAUUAGACAAAACUGGACUUUUAACACUUCAAAAAUGUAAUGCAGGUUUUGUGGAGCAGAAAUAAUCUGAAUAUCUGAAUGAUUGAAAAUGGGAUUAAAUUUGAUAAUAAAUAAGAAGAAAAUGAUUUUUAACCGUUGGAGGUUGGAAAGGUCACCAAAGGUAACAAAAUCCAAUCCAAUUCAACAUUAGCAUUUUUGGCAGCUUAGGUUUCUUUAUUUUUACAGGAAUUGAAGACUUUGCAGUGCAUGCUGGGAAUUUAUGAAGUGAGUUUCAGUGGUAAAGUGCUUUCAGCUGGUUUUUAAAUCUACAAUAACGACCGAAUAACCGUCACAUUCCUGUCAUUUCGGUUCCUUAAACUCCUGAAGGUGACCUUAUUUAGCAGCUGAGAUUAAAGUUGGAUCGCAUUUAGAGUUUGCUCAUUCCUAAAAGAAAAAAAGAAAAAGAAAAGAAAAAGAUAUCACUUCUUUCUGGGGAAGAAUAGUCAUGAUUUUUCUUUUAAAAUUUCAAAUAGUUUCAGUAAAACACUGUUUAGGAUUCUGGCAAAAAGAUUUUGAGUAGAACGUAAACUUUACAAACUUUAAAAAAAACCCACAAAAACACACCACAAAUUAAUUAAUCAAAAAAAAGUUCAAGUUAAACAAAAAAGUUUAGGACUAUUGGAACAGUUUUUUGGCGCUCGAACUUUUAGCAGUUAAUUUUUUUGGGAACAAAACUUGAAGGAAAAUAUGUAAAAAAUUGUGCAAAUUUAAGUCACAGAUUUAAAAAAAAAUAUAUUCAUCAUUGUUGUUGUUUUGCUUCAUAUGAAAUUUGGUGAUUAAAAAGAUUCAGUUAAAGACGAAUUAAAGAAAGUUAAAAUGUGAAAAACUUAAAUAUUACAUUUAUAUUUAUAAAGGGACGCAGGAAUGCUUCGCCUCAUUUUGCACCUUUGUAUUCAUUUUUUAGAAAUUUAACACAAAACUAUUUAAAAUGAUUUCAUUCCUGUGCAGAGAUCACAAACACACACACACACACACACACACACACACACACACACACACACACACGCACACAGAAAUGCAGCCGAGGAGAAAUGAACUGAAUGUUUAACAGAUAUUAAAGUUCUGGAGCAGCACUGUGGGAAAGGUCAAAGGUCAUUAGCACCUGGAGGAUUUCGGUACUCUGCACCUUUAGAGUUUUUGUAAACGUAUCCGGGGAAGUGAAAGAAAACAAAACGUUCUAAUAUUAAAAAAACAUCUAUUCGGGGUUUUACGUCUAAUUCUGACAAGCAGCAGUUCAGAAACUACUGAUUCUGCACGAGACACUCAUUUAACAUCUUAACACACACUUAUUAUUAUUAUUAUUAUUAUUAUUAUUAUUAUUAUUAUUAAAAAUCCAUUCAAUUUAUUUUCUUUUUUAAAGCACCGCUUACACCUUUUGGUUUUUUUUUUUCCUUUUUUUUCCCCUUUUAGUCACUUUAGAUGAAAUAAACCUACUGGAUGUUAACAUGUUAAACACGUGGCAGCUUUUCACACUCAUUUUUUUUCCCUAAAUAAUAAAAUAAAUUAAGUCAACUUUAACACUUUACACUAUUUUGUUUCCACAGUUGUGAUGGUUGCGAUCAUAAACCGUGUUCCUUUACUAAUGACUAUAAAUGUCCCCUCAACUUUGUACUUCUUUCAACACCGUGUAAAAGGAAAAUAUAUAUAUAUAUAUUAAAACAGGGAAAUAUUACAGGCAUUCUUUUUUCUUUAAACUGUUUUUUUUAAUCGAUAGAAUUUAUAUUUAUAUUUAUUAAUACAGUAUUUUCUCAACAUGCUGUGAAGUUAAAUUUCCUCUCGUGAAAAUCUGGAGGACAUUUUUUAGAAUUUUUUUAAACUACAUAUUUUGGACGUUUUCGUGUAGCUGUGAUUAUUUUUGUGUUGUUUUAAAUAAAAUGUAAAUAUUUGUAGUAAAAUAAGUCAGUUCCCUACACCUUUACCACCAUAUUAACCAUAUUAACGUUUAUUUGUCGUUUAUUCGUUGUUGAUAUCUUAGUAGAAUUAUCGGACAUUUAUGUAAAUAUUUUGAAUUUAAAUAAUGUGGAGUUAAUGUUGAGGUAGUGAUAAUAUUUCUACUGUGAAUAUAUUGAAUAAUUAAUUAUUGGCACCUUCGUUCGUUUUCUUGGUGUCGCGUAUCCUUCUGAUCCAUUACAGGCUUUUAUUUUAUUCUCGGUUUACAUUUAAGACAUUUGUCAUGUUUACUUUCUAAACAGUUUUUGUUUUUACAAAAAGUAAUGGCACCUCAAAAAACAAGACAUUUCACAGGAGUGUAAAUAAACAGGUUGUUUUAGGCUUGUGGGAAAACUCAAGAAUGUUGUCAUCAUCAACAUCAUUUUGCCUUUGUUUACAUUUUCUACAUUUAUAGUGUUAGUAAAGUAGAGCUCAACGUGCAGUGUGAAUUUUUCCCGAAAUAACAAAGCACCGAUUUUACACAAUUCUGCACCUUAAACUGUAAAGAUAAUUUUUUUAUUUAUAAAUCAUUUUCAUAAACUAUAAAGAUUUUUUUUUUUACAUUUAUAAACCAUUCAGAUUUAUUUUUCCUGAUAAAAUGAAGCCAUGGCCACAUAACCAUAAAAACCAUAAAAACAAAAAAACAUAUAUUUUUAAAAAAGGCGUCAUGUACAGUGUGUUUUAAACGAAAAGUGCUUUAACGCUGUUUAAUGUGAGACAGGCUUGUGACAUUUUUACGGUUCUACUCGAAACAACUUUGAUCAUCGUCAUAGUUCAUCCACUGGCUGUGGAUUUAUAUCAACAUUAGGCUUUAGCAUUAGCAUGAAUAUUAAACUUUACAAUUCUUUUUUUUUUUUUUUUUUUUUUUUUUUUUGCUAGUGAAUAAUUCCCGAUAUUUAAUUUUUUCUUUCGGUAGAAUGAAUCGGUGACAAUGUGCAAGACUUCAAAUUUUGAACCUCACACUCACACACACACACACACACACACACACACACACACACACACACACACACGACAGAAGUAAAAACAGCAUGCUAGCAAAGCAACUUGUCUUAUUUGUGCUCAUCCUCAGAGUUCAGUUUGUCCCAGCUCAACUGGGAUUCCAUAAAUUCCAUAUUACUGGUUUAUUAUACACACGCACCAGGCUUUAUACCGAUGCGUCUGAAAUCCAACACUCUCUCAUGAGGUAACAAAAAUAAAAUAUGCAAACGUGGCAUUUAUUUGAUUUACAUUUCCGUCCUGUCCGAAAAAAGACUUUUUUCUUAAACUUUGCAGAAGUCCACUAGCGCUCAGCACAUUUAAGGCAGCAAAGAAGCACCAUAAUCAGAUGAGCUGUGAGCCUCCAGGAAGGAGUUGAUGUGUUGCCAUGUUUUUGGGAUCCAGUCGAUGAUCUUGAUGAGUUCGUUACUGCGUGUGUUUUUAUCGAUCUCCACCUCGAUCAGCUUCCUGCGCAGAAACCGACCUAGAAAGCCCCGUACCGGUUCCGUGUGAUUCGCACACAACACCCACCUGUAAUUAAAGUCAUACUGUCACACACUUCCUGUACGUAUACACA